ACACCCUUAUUGAGAAUGCUUCGUUCUCCUCUGUUCUCCUCUCCAACCUAUGUGGGAUCUCACGUCAAUAUACUGGAGAUGGAUUGGGAUUUGACCAUUCUUAUGUUUAGAACUUUCAAGAUCAUAAUGCAUGGGUUCACAGUAGGUCUUUAUAUAUCUUGUUCGUUUACAUGGUACUUAGUCUUUUUCCUAGCGCUAGAGUUAUAGAAACUUGAAAAUUCCACUAAAAGUUUUAUUGUGAACUCGAAAAUAUGAAUUACAGUUGAUUAUCCCAAGUAAUUUGAGAAACUGAGGAAAAUUCUUAAUCACCAUUUAGUGACUUACUCUGUAGUCAAUGACUAAUAUGCUUUCACUUUAUCCUCAAGGUGUAUUUGACCAAGAGGUUCUCCUGUGGAAAAUUAAAUAAUUGUAUAUAGAGAAAAAUUGAAGUGUCAACAAGUUUUUCUCCCUUCUCCACUCCUUUUUGUUGAAAAAUUCAAGCCACUGCUCCUGGGUAAAUCCUCCUAGAUAUUUGAAACACAGUUGGUUGUUGCCAAUAAUUUGUAACAAUAAGUGCAGUCCAUAAUUUAGUAUAUAUAACACCUAGCGCUAGAACUCAUCAUGGCCAUGGCACUUGUAUUAUUUUCUUCUUUUGGUAGAGAAAGAUUCUCAGCAAUUACUUUAAAUUCGGCAUUGUGUCCGAAACUUCACAAGUCCAAGGCCCACUUAAGCUCACGCCCUUGCUACAUCUUCAAUGAUACUUCGUUUAGCAUUUGUUGGACCUCUCUUCCUUUACAGUUCUAGUUCCAACCACACCUUUUGUCAUUGGCGUAGGCUUCCUUUAGACUCGUUUUUAUUUUCAUCAACUAUUUGUCUUGCUUCUAUUGCAUUCCUUUUUCCCCACAUGUUCUCAAUUGGACAUCCACUCCAUGCCACUCUACUCAUUGUUUUACGCAUUGUUAUGUGUUUUCUUGGUUGUUUAUGUGUUGUUCUCAAACCUUUUCAUAUGGAGGUGGAUUUUAUAAUUAAAAGGGAAAAAAAAACUCUCUUUAGUUUGACUUGAGCUACACAUUAUUGCCCUUUCAUGCGAUUCUUCUGGUAGGGGGCGUUUUUGGCCAUCUUAUGAAAGUCUUGCUCUUGAGGAAUUUCGAACACAAGAAUUUUCAGGGUAAGAGGGUCUUGGGGAGUGAUGUGGGUCUUGGCUCACUGUUAUGGCUCUCUUUAGGUCAUUUACAAGUAGCACCUGUUAUCAUUUAUCUUUUUCUUUUUACUCUUAGUAACUAGAGUCUUUUCAAGUAGUUUUGUUCUGUGUUUAGUAGCUCCUUUUUAGUUUAAUCCUUCUCUUUCAUUCAAAAUAAGGAUGGAAGGUGGAUUGUAUGGAGACAUAUGUCAUGGUAUUGGUGGUGGGGUUUAUGAUUACAAAACAAAAUCUCUCUCAAUCAAGAGAGGAAGGUACAGGUCUAAAUAGUGCCCCAGUUGAAUUAUUACAGACAUGUUUUUCUUUGAUAAUGAGGAAAAGUUUCCGGCAUAUGGUCAAUGUUUUGCAAAAAUUUUGUUUGAUUAGGGGAUAUGGCUACUUUUUCUUAGGCAGCAAUUGUUGGUCUUCAUUGUCUGAAAUAUACUCUAAAUCUUUCAUGUUAAGUUUUUUCUUUGCCUGUGUUUAGUUUCUCUUGGGGAGGAUAGCCAGAAUUUGUGGAACUCUGGAACCCAGUGACUGACGAAGUUGUAGAAAGUUAUGAUUUCACAUUAGCCAAAACUUGAGCUCAUGACCUGCCCAGGAACACAGAUUGCCGUGCCCUCGACCAAUAAACCAAGAAGUUGUUAUUGUACGGUACAUUUUUUUAAUAAAUUCUCUACCACCGUGGUAUUAAUUGAAGAAAUUAUCAUGAACUUUUAUUGGGAAGGUCCAUAUGUGGAUGGUGAAAAUUGUCUCUUACUCCUUUGAACUCGGGUGGUCUUGAAAUUGGAAUUUUGAGUUUGAAAAACACAGCUUUGAUUUGUAAAGGUUGUUAAGAUAUUUGAUAGAAUAAAAAUUGAUAGUGGCAUAGGAUCAUCGUUGAUAAAUAUGGCUAGAAAUCUAUUGAGUUAACAACAGUGGUGCACUAGAAGUUGUUGGUCAUCCUUCGUUAGGGGUGAAGUGGAUUGGUUUAGGUCAGUUUUUGUAGAAAUCCGAUCUGAGCCAUUCCGAUUUAGAGAAGAAACCCAUCUCAAUUCAUGUUUGAACAAAAGUAGGUUGGGUCGAGUCACUCAUGUUUUUUUCCCCACCCAGUCCAUUUCCAUCUUGGUUUCUCCAUCUCCUUUACCCAUUCCUUUUUCUUCCCAAACCUGACCAAAUGUUUGUAUCAAUCAAUCUUCUUCUUUUCCCACAAAAUCCAUCUUAAUUUCUCAAUCUUCAAUUUCCUCCUCCUUCCCUUUCCAUAUUUCCCCUCUUCCUCUUCCCUCGUUCAAACCACCAUCCUCAACAUCAUAAAACUACAACAUUAUCCAAAUCGUAACUCAAAUCAUGAGUGGGUUGAACCUAAAGAUAGAUCUGUGUUGGGUGAUAGAAAGAAAGAAAGAGAGAGAAAAAAAAAGGUGUGGCUUGGUGAAAUAGGUAAAGCAAGCUUCAGAUUGAGAAAAUCUAGUCUGGUUUGCAGUUGAAGAAGAAAACCAUGCUUGGGUUGCCUUCGAAGCGGAGAUCCUGUUGUUUUCGUUUGUGCCCGGAUGUGAGAACGACUAUUGAGAUUUUGAUUUAAAAAAAUGAUGGUUGCCAUGUCCAUUGGGAGAGAUCCAUGACUUAGAUUAUAGACUAGAAAGAGUGUAAGUUCGGAAGCGAAUCAAGGGGAGAAAGAGAUAGCAUGAGAAAUGAAUGAAACCUAACUCAAAUAAUGAGUCAGUUCAGGUAAAUCAAGAACUGAACUGAACCAUAGCGGUUCGGUUCGGGUCAAAUAAUGGUUAAAAGUGAACCAAACUGACCCGAACCAAAACUACAAAAAACUGUUCUUGCAAACCUAGAAUGCCAAUGGCAUUGAUUGAAGAUUCUAAAGUUUUGAAUGGAUAAAUGGAUCAAAUGAUGGAACGAGUGUAAAUUUCCCAGACCGUACAUGAUGCAAACAUUGAUUGUAGUCAUUCCAUGUAUUGAGGAUUUUGGGGUUAGAUUCCGUUGAUAUGGAAUUUCGAAUUGAUUUCCAGUUAUUCAUCAACUAUAGGUCUUCCCUGUAACAUACCCAGACGUAAAAGUUUGAAGACUUGGCAAGUCUGUUUUUUUUUAUAAUUUUUUAAUUUUUUAAUUUUUUUUUUUUUUAAUAAAUUGAUUCUUAAUUGUGUUUUGAAUGGUCUUGGAAAACGCACUCAAGUAUGUACAGCUUUUCUUCCCCAAAUUCUUUGUUUUUAAGCCACUGGAAACCAUCAUUUCCUGCCAUGUGGUGUCUGUUUAACAAUUGUUAAAGUGAAAACCGGUAAUGUGCUGACUUUAAUUGUGCUUCUAUAUAAAUCCCUUGUGAGGGAAUUUCAGAUUUCUGUAACGGAGGAAGAAGAAGCUAGUGUUGCAUAUUACAUAUAUAUUAUAUCUAUCUUGUUAUGCUUUUAUUGAGUUCUGCCACCCAUUUUUCCUUGCUUUCCUUUUGUUUUCUUCUUAGAACUACUUUUUAUAUUUUGAUCAAUAUGCAACUUCUGAUGGACUGGGUGGAUAAAGCGUGGCCCGUAAAGACGAAGAUGUGGCGUUUGAAAACAUUUUAAGAUGAAACUGGUGCUUUUGUAGAUGCUUCAUUUUAGCCCUUUUUGCUGUAUAUCUUCUGAACUAAUGGCUUCUCAUUUUCUGUGUACACUUUUUUUAUGCUUUCUUUUCAAUGUUGGUUUAUAGGGUUCUUCUGCUCUGCGUAUGUUCCUUUUAGUAUACUGCAAAAAUUUUCUCUGUUGUGGGAUGAUUAGAAUAUCACCUAUUUUUUUAUUGCACAUCUUGUUUGGUAUAAUAAGGCACAAUUACCUGUAAGUGAUUUCUAGAUGAAUUUAUAGCAGUUUGAUGUAUAACUUUUCUAUAAGAUAAAGUAGCAUUCAAAAAUGCUUUGGUAUCGUUUUGAAACUUCAAAAAAAUAUUUGUAGAUUAUGAAAGAUUGACUUCGUAGCAUUUUGAUGUUUAACUUUUGGACUAGUAUGAAAGUUAUGCAUACAUGUGUUAUUCUCCAUUUUUGUUUGUUAUCUUU
Cucurbita maxima (winter squash) is the source of this 4160-nucleotide long non-coding RNA. RefSeq lists it as uncharacterized. Lineage: Eukaryota; Viridiplantae; Streptophyta; Magnoliopsida; Cucurbitales; Cucurbitaceae. The record is from RefSeq and is a predicted model, not a curated record. The transcript has 2 exons.